Molecule: unclassified non-coding RNA, 254 nt
Filed under: Hevea brasiliensis (rubber tree)
Lineage: Eukaryota; Viridiplantae; Streptophyta; Magnoliopsida; Malpighiales; Euphorbiaceae
Source: RNAcentral
GGGGUCGGAAGCUUCAUUAGUAGUAUUAUUAUUUCUGUUAUCGACCGUAUAUCUAGUAGAACGGGGGAGAGCUGGUUCUCCAACAAUCUAAACCGUGGGCAUCUUGAUUAUUUCUACUGGUUUCUUACCAUAAUCAGUGGUGUACAAUUGGUCUGCUACAUCUACUUUGCACGAUCUUAUGUCUAUAAAAGGAAAGGGAGUGUUGCAGCAUAAUGCCUCUGCUUGUAGGAAUUGGUCUGCUAUAUCUACUUUGC